RNAcentral lists this long non-coding RNA (1134 nucleotides) under Apteryx owenii (little spotted kiwi). RNAcentral's name for it is "lncRNA (ENSAOWG00000011621.1)". The record is from RNAcentral. Lineage: Eukaryota; Metazoa; Chordata; Aves; Apterygiformes; Apterygidae.
CUGUUAUGGACUCCUGGACUGGUCCCAGAAAAAUUUUCCUCUAUUAUUUUCUAGGUAUCUGUCAUUUUGUGCUAUUUGUGUUAUUGCUGAGUAUUAUCCUUAGGUUCGUUUUCAGAAAAGAACGUGAAAGAGAGGGAGAAAGAAAGAAGAGAAAGGCAGAAGUGUCCACAGUGAGACCUAAGCAAUCAAUAUCUUCCAACCGCUUCUCAGAAGAGCAGCCUUAUCAAGCCUGCACAUUUGCUACCAGGCUGCACAUUUUCUACCCUUCUUCAUGUCUGUAUGCCCAAGGGAAGUGUUUCACAGAAGAGAGGAGUUUUUCAAGCUGAUCAAGGAAGCCCCAGGAGGCUGUUUAAUUCAAAUACUCCCCAAAAAUUGCCCCAAGUGUCCUGGCUGCAGAAUGCUAUACAGGAAUGAAAACAAAGACAUCCAAGCCUUGAGCCAUUUAGAAGAGGAAGAAGCCAAAAUCCAUGCCAGAGGUUCGACUGCUGGGUUUACUUAUGGCUUCAGGCACAAAUUAAUGACCUUCAAACAGUACAGUGAUAUCGUCUUGAGCCCUCUACUCAGCCAAUCUGCUUUGCUCUCAGCUGCUGAACCAUGUCUGAUCACCCCCUUUGAAGGGGAACGUGUGAUGUUGAGGAGCAAUGAGAUGUUUGCAGAGCCAUUUGUAGAAAGAGAAGACCAUCAGGUGGAACAAGGAAGCUGUUUUCUGCAGGAGGAGCCUGAAGCCAAGUAUCAAUUUGUUUUGAAACUGAAAUCCAGCCCAAGUCACUGAAGUGAACCGGACCAGCUGGAGCAGCGAGAAAACUGCAAGGCAGCGAUGGCUGUCUGACUGCCUCUGUGCUCCCUGCAGGAGCCUGCAUUUCACCCAUGAAUAUGGCUCCCCUCUUGGGGGGACAGAUUUAUUUUGUUCUUCUCAUCCCUGGUGGUGGGAGGGCUGGGCUUGGAGAUUAGUUUCCAGCUGCUCCAGCCUUCAGUGGUGGGUUUAGGGCAGACUGUGGGGGGAACAGUGGGGGAAGACCUCUCUGUCUGUCCCCGCUCCCAGCUGCUGGUAUGGGGCUGUGUACAUGGAGCUAAUGCAAGGGGAAUUCAUGCAGCCCCAUAAAUAAACAGAAAGAGCUGAAAUAGUAUGUGACA